This is a long non-coding RNA of Argiope bruennichi, 2817 nucleotides long. RefSeq lists it as uncharacterized. NCBI's taxonomy places the organism in Eukaryota, Metazoa, Arthropoda, Arachnida, Araneae, Araneidae. The record is from RefSeq and is a predicted model, not a curated record. The transcript has 4 exons.
UUGGCGAUUUGGCAUCCUUGGCGCAGAGUGGGGCACACGAAACUUCGCUUUUACCAAUGUGACAACCGGUUUGUUUGGGUGAAUACCUAUUUAAAAGCUGAGCAGUGAAUAAUAAUAAUAAUCAGCUGAUGUUUAACCACAGUUGGUGAAUACGGCCGCCAACUUGUUAACCCGGCACAAGCCACAAUCCGUUCUAAACUCUGGAGCAUAAGCUGGAGAACAAACAUUCACCAUCCAUCCACAAUAAUAAAAAAUUAGCAUUAUUUCAUAAAUUCAGGCCUGAACAAUCCUUCUGGUCUUAACUCUGUCUUGCAGAAAGAAGAUUCUUGAGAUAUUAUAAAGGUAACAGACCAGGACAAGAUGCAGCUUUCCCUGAAAAAUCAAACUCUCUCUUUUGCUGUAAAAGUUUGGUAGCACCUAGGGUAAUAAAAUCCGAAGCAAAUUUCUCCAACUGAAUAGAAGUUUUUCAAGUGUUCAUCCUCACUCCAGCUUCACUCAAAGACAUUUCACCUUCUAAAGGAACUCUUUCACGCAGAUUCCAAAAAAGUAAAAAAAAAAAAAAAAUGAAUAUCCCUCCAGUUUGCUCAAUCAGGAAUGUUGCAUCACUGAGAGAAAUCACACUUGUUUCUGGGGCAAUUUUAUUAACAGACUGGGAUAAAAUUAAGCAUAUGGUUGAAGACUUACACAGACACAUGAAUUUCGAAAUUGCAAAUCCUGGAACUCAUUCGAGAAGGAUAACUUAUCCAACUGUUACAGAAGCAUUUAAAUACGAGGCGGAAGAUGCACUAAGGGAUAUCUGCAUCCCCGAAACACUUAAAAAAGAACUUGCCGAAUGUGUUUACAAAAUUUCUUCCGAAAUCUUCAACUUCUAUAUCAUAAACUUUGACCUUAUGCAGGAAGCUGCGAGCCUGAAGGAUUUCAUUGUCUUUAACUCCGAUGGAUCGAUAAAUCAUUAUAGGAGUCACCAACGUAUCAUAAGGGAAACUAAUCUGAGUACCAGAAUAAGAUUUGCCAGCGCCUGCCAAUAUUAUUCCGUAGAGGAACUUAUAGCGAUAUGGAAUGAAGUGGUUGCACCUGCGAUUUUUGGGAGGAUUUAGUUUUUGUUAUGGCUGUUAGAAGUAUUGCUGUGGGAAUCAUGUUCUCUGAAAAGCAAAAGAUAAAGAUGGGCACACUCUUGUCAGUUUCGUUUUUUACUGCUAGUUUAAGCAGUCCAGUAAUAAAUUGAGUUUCAUUUUUGAUUCCACAACUAAAAAUUGUAAACUAAUAUAUUCGCAACUAAAAAUUAUAAAAAUGAUAUUCAUCGAAAGACUUAAUAACAUUUUUAUAAUAGAAUAACGUUGCCAUUCCACCAACACAUAGACUCUUGACGAAACUAUCGAAAUUAUAGAGAAAUUUGAGUAGAUGUUGUGGAUAUUUUCUAUAAUUAAGCAAGAAAUUAUAUGAUAGCACAAAUAUAAUGGGGCUGAAAACUUUCUUGCUUGUCUCACUACUCAUCGAAUGUGAAACACGAAUAAAAGAUCAUCUCAAAGCAGCGGACUGCUACUUAACAAGACAUUCGGUAAAUGACUUAAUUACAUUUUUAAAACAGCAUGCACGUCAGGAUACUGGAAUAGACUAUUCCGAUGUAUAUGCUGCGGAUUAUUUCCAUAAUUAAAUAAGAAAUUAUACAUCUGUUCAAAUGUAAUGACGCAGUGAACUUUCUUGCUUUAUUCAUCACUCAGUAACUGUCAAAUUCUUUUGAUUAAAUGGAAAAUUCUCAAGUAGUAGAAUACUGUUUAACAUGACAUUCAGUAUAUGACUUGAUUACAUUUUUUUGAAUGCAAACAUCCUGCAUUAAAGGAUGAAAGAAAAAGUGAUGAAACUGGAAACUUUCUAGUUGUCUCUUUUUUCACGGUUGGUGAAAAUUAAUAGAACAUUUCGUGUAGUACUCUAGUAUUGUAUUAAUGUAAUUGUGUGUUUAAAUUCUGUGAAAAUUUAAAUAUUAUUGCAUGUUCGUGAUUUAAAAAUUCUGCUUCUAUAUUUUGUAAGUUAUUUCUUUCAGUUUGGAAAAAUGCGAUUUAAUUUGAUCAAUAUUUUCAUCCAUGCUUUUAAGUAUUUUAUAUAUUUGUGGGUGUUAUAUUUUUUAUUUGCUGUUUUAUAUAUACAUUUGAGAAGAAAGUACUUGCUAGCUUGUGUGUUGUUCACUUAUGUCACAGCUAAUAUACUCAGCUGUCACAGCUAAUAUACAUACAUAGUUCUCAUGUUAAGAGAACUCUUUAAUUCAUUGUGAUUAUUCAUUUUGUUUUUUUAAUAACUCUUUGAGCUUUCGUUCCUCUAUUUUUCUUCUUUAUUAACGUAAUUCUUUUCUAUAAUCUAAGGAAAUUUAAAGUAAAUCUCGUUAAACGAACGUAAUUAUUUGAAAUAUUUAAAAUUUAAAUAUUAUCAAGAUUGUGUAAUUCAUCGAAUUUUAUAAAACUAUCCCAUUGGAAAUGUAUAAUUUUUGUGCAAAUUUAAUUGCUAUUAUUUGUUUAUAUUUUAAAGAUACUUAAUAUUUCGAAUAAUUUUAUUGUUUUGUAAUUCAACAUAAUUUUAUGAUACCAUAAAAACUUCGAAGAUUUUUCUUCGAUUCUAGUACUUUUAAUUUUACUAUCAUUUGAUAAUUUUAAAAAUAGUUUAAUUUUUUAGCUUUUAAUGCAUUGAUUCGGCAGUAUCUUGCUUUAUUCUUUAGGAAAAUGAAUAGAAAUAAGUAUCCAUUUGAAUAUAUGUAUCUUAGCACUCAGAACUUUUUGAAUGUUUGUUCAGUACUUGCAUAUGUAUUUUCACGCAUUAAAUAAAUUG